RNAcentral lists this ribosomal RNA (496 nucleotides) under uncultured bacterium. Its description in RNAcentral is "partial 16S ribosomal RNA". It matches the Rfam family "Bacterial small subunit ribosomal RNA", at positions 28 to 507 of the family's 1533-position model. The record is from RNAcentral.
GAUGAACGCUGGCGGCGUGCCUAAUACAUGCAAGUCGAGCGAACAGACGAGGAGCUUGCUCCUCUGACGUUAGCGGCGGACGGGUGAGUAACACGUGGAUACCUACCUAUAAGACUGGGAUAACUUCGGGAAACCGGAGCUAAUACCGGAUAAUAUAUUGAACCGCAUGGUUCAAUAGUGAAAGACGGUUUUGCUGUCACUUAUAGAUGGAUCCGCGCCGCAUUAGCUAGUUGGUAAGGUAACGGCUUACCAAGGCGACGAUGCGUAGCCGACCUGAGAGGGUGAUCGGCCACACUGGAACUGAGACACGGUCCAGACUCCUACGGGAGGCAGCAGUAGGGAAUCUUCCGCAAUGGGCGAAAGCCUGACGGAGCAACGCCGCGUGAGUGAUGAAGGUCUUCGGAUCGUAAAACUCUGUUAUUAGGGGAGAACAAAUGUGUAAGUAACUAUGCACGUCUUGACGGUACCUAAUCAGAAAGCCACGGCUAACUACGUG